AAUGAACGUCGGCGGCAUGGAUUAGGCAUGCAAGUCGAGCGAGAAGGGUUUUGAAGCUUGCUUUAGAACCCGGAAAGCGGCGCAAGGGAGAGUAACGAGUAGUUAUCUACCCCAAGGCCCGGAAUAGCUGCGGGAAACUGCAGGUAAUGCCGGAUAAUAUCCCGGAUCAAAGGUGUGAUUCCGCCUUGGGAGGAGACUGCUUUGUACUAGCUAGUUGGUAGGGUAAUGGCCUACCAAGGCUACGAUGCAUAGCGGGCGUGAGAGCGUGGCCCGUCUCACUGGGACUGAAACACUGCCCAGACACCUACGGGUGGCUGCAGUCGAGAAUCUUCGGCAAUGGGCGAAAGCCUGACCGAGCGAUGCCGCGUGCGGGAUGAAGGCCCUCGGGUUGUAAACCGCUGUCGUAGAGGAGAAAGGUCUGAUGAAGAAUCAGAUUUGAUCUAUUCUAGGAGGAAGUCGGGGCUAAGUUCGUGCCAGCCGCCGCGGUAA
Molecule: ribosomal RNA, 489 nt
Filed under: uncultured bacterium
Lineage: Bacteria
Description: partial 16S ribosomal RNA
Rfam family: Bacterial small subunit ribosomal RNA
Source: RNAcentral